Molecule: small nuclear RNA, 107 nt
Filed under: Notamacropus eugenii (tammar wallaby)
Lineage: Eukaryota; Metazoa; Chordata; Mammalia; Diprotodontia; Macropodidae
Source: RNAcentral
AUGUUUGCUUCGACAGCACAUAUACUGAAAUUGGAAGGAUACAGAGAAGACUAGUAUGAUCCCUGGGCAAGGAUGACACACAAAUUCAUGAAAUGUUCCAUAUUUUU